RNAcentral lists this ribosomal RNA (220 nucleotides) under Serratia nevei. Its description in RNAcentral is "partial 23S ribosomal RNA". It matches the Rfam family "Bacterial large subunit ribosomal RNA", at positions 619 to 841 of the family's 2925-position model. Lineage: Bacteria; Pseudomonadati; Pseudomonadota; Gammaproteobacteria; Enterobacterales; Yersiniaceae. The record is from RNAcentral.
GUCAGCGACUUAUAUUUUGUAGCAAGGUUAACCGUAUAGGGGAGCCGUAGGGAAACCGAGUCUUAACUGGGCGAAUAGUUGCAAGGUAUAGACCCGAAACCCGGUGAUCUAGCCAUGGGCAGGUUGAAGGUUGGGUAACACUAACUGGAGGACCGAACCGACUAAUGUUGAAAAAUUAGCGGAUGACUUGUGGCUGGGGGUGAAAGGCCAAUCAAACCGG